RNAcentral lists this ribosomal RNA (492 nucleotides) under uncultured bacterium. RNAcentral describes it as "partial 16S ribosomal RNA". It matches the Rfam family "Bacterial small subunit ribosomal RNA", at positions 29 to 507 of the family's 1533-position model. The record is from RNAcentral.
AGUGAACGCUGGCGGUGGGCCUAACACAUGCAAGUCGAACGGCAGCACAGUAAGAGCUUGCUCUUACGGGUGGCGAGUGGCGGACGGGUGAGGAAUACAUCGGAAUCUACUUUUUCGUGGGGGAUAACGUAGGGAAACUUACGCUAAUACCGCAUACGACCUACGGGUGAAAGCAGGGGAUCUUCGGACCUUGCGCGAUUGAAUGAGCCGAUGUCGGAUUAGCUAGUUGGCGGGGUAAAGGCCCACCAAGGCGACGAUCCGUAGCUGGUCUGAGAGGAUGAACAGCCACACUGGAACUGAGACACGGUCCAGACUCCUACGGGAGGCAGCAGUGGGGAAUAUUGGACAAUGGGGGCAAGCCUGAUCCAGCCAUACCGCGUGGGUGAAGAAGGCCUUCGGGUUGUAAAGCCCUUUUGUUGGGAAAGAAAAGCAGCAGGUUAAUACCCCGCUGUUCUGACGGUACCCAAAGAAUAAGCACCGGCUAACUUCGUG